RNAcentral lists this ribosomal RNA (427 nucleotides) under uncultured bacterium. Its description in RNAcentral is "partial 16S ribosomal RNA". It matches the Rfam family "Bacterial small subunit ribosomal RNA", at positions 355 to 774 of the family's 1533-position model. The record is from RNAcentral.
UGGGGAAUAUUGCACAAUGGGCGCAAGCCUGAUGCAGCCAUGCCGCGUGUAUGAAGAAGGCCUUCGGGUUGUAAAGUACUUUCAGCGGGGAGGAAGGGAGUAAAGUUAAUACCUUUGGUCAUUGACGUUACCCGCAGAAGAAGCACCGGCUAACUCCGUGCCAGCAGCCGCGGUAAUACGGAGGGUGCAAGCGUUAAUCGGAAUUACUGGGCGUAAAGCGCACGCAGGCGGUCUGUCAAGUCGGAUGUGAAAUCCCCGGGCUCAACCUGGGAACUGCAUUCGAAACUGGCAGGCUAGAGUCUUGUAGAGGGGGGUAGAAUUCCAGGUGUAGCGGUGAAAUGCGUAGAGAUCUGGAGGAAUACCGGUGGCGAAGGCGGCCCCCUGGACAAAGACUGACGCUCAGGUGCGAAAGCGUGGGGAGCAAACA